Molecule: ribosomal RNA, 439 nt
Filed under: uncultured bacterium
Lineage: Bacteria
Description: partial 16S ribosomal RNA
Rfam family: Bacterial small subunit ribosomal RNA
Source: RNAcentral
CUACGGGGGGCAGCAGUGAGGAAUAUUGCACAAUGGGGGGAACCCUGAUGCAGCAACGCCGCGUGGAGGAUGACGCAUUUCGGUGUGUAAACUCCUUUUAUAUGUCAAGAAAAUGACGGUAGCAUAUGAAUAAGCACCAGCUAACUCCGUGCCAGCAGCCGCGGUAAUACGGAGGGUGCAAGCGUUACUCGGAAUCACUGGGCGUAAAGGACGCGUAGGCGGGUUGGAAAGUCAGGUGUGAAAUCCUACAGCUUAACUGUAGAACUGCGCUUGAAACUUCUAAUCUAGAGUAUGGGAGGGGGAGAUGGAAUUAGUGGUGUAGGGGUAAUAUCCGUAGAUAUCACUAGGAAUACCUAAAGCGAAGGCGAUCUCCUGGAACAUUACUGACGCUAAGGCGUGAAAGCGUGGGGAGCAAACAGGAUUAGAUACCCGCGUAGUC